This 253-nucleotide ribosomal RNA is filed under the name uncultured bacterium. RNAcentral's name for it is "partial 16S ribosomal RNA". It matches the Rfam family "Bacterial small subunit ribosomal RNA", at positions 524 to 776 of the family's 1533-position model. The record is from RNAcentral.
UACAGAGGUGGCAAGCGUUGUUCGGAAUUACUGGGCGUAAAGGGCGCGUAGGCGGUUCGUUAAGUCCUGUGUGAAAUCCCCCGGCUCAACUGGGGAACUGCACAGGAAACUAGCGGGCUUGAGUUCGGGAGAGGGAAGCGGAAUUCCGGGUGUAGCGGUGAAAUGCGCAGAGAUCGGGAGGAACACCCGUAGCGAAGGCGGCACUCUGGGCCGGAACUGACGCUGAGGAGCGAAAGCGUGGGUAGCAAACAGG